GUAGGUUUGAUUAUGGUUUUUGGAGAAUUCGGUGUAGUGCUAGGAAGCCAAAUUCUACCAAUAGGAACGAACUUUUCGUGUAUUUCGAGUUUUUGGAUUGUCACAUUACUUCACGUGGCUAUUAUUCCACUGAUGAUUGUUUUUGCGAGACAACCAAAUCCUUACGAAGAGAAUGAAAGAAGAUUAUCAGAGGAAGCCGAAGCAUUACGUUACCUAAUGGAGCCUAGCACCUAAAUAAUACGAACAUGGAUUAAGGAUACGAUUAGAAAUUAGAAAUUUUUAAUGCUCGUAUUUCGAGAAACAGUAGAAAACUGAGAAAAAUGUACUGAUCUUUUUUGUUUCAUAAGUGUUUUAAUACUCAAUUUUUAUGCUGGUUCAUUUUUUGUUGAAAAAGUAGGUACUAUUUGCUGCGGGCGUCUCUUUUAAUAAUACAUGGAAUUUUUUACGAAUUGAAUGCCGAAUACUGGCGUAGAUAUGUUGUGUGUACUUUAAUAUAUUGUUAUAAUUUUUUGUAAGUAAAUUAUAAAAUAGCAAA
Long non-coding RNA from Planococcus citri (citrus mealybug), 535 nucleotides. RefSeq lists it as uncharacterized. The transcript is spliced from 2 exons. The record is from RefSeq and is a predicted model, not a curated record. NCBI's taxonomy places the organism in Eukaryota, Metazoa, Arthropoda, Insecta, Hemiptera, Pseudococcidae.